Molecule: long non-coding RNA, 463 nt
Organism: Tupaia belangeri chinensis (Chinese tree shrew)
Lineage: Eukaryota; Metazoa; Chordata; Mammalia; Scandentia; Tupaiidae
Exons: 3
Source: RefSeq, a predicted model, not a curated record
ACAGAGGGGGCAGCUUUGGGCUGUCAGUCAGAAACUGUCUGAAAAGAAGGAAAUAAUGCCUUGGUAGAUGUGAACGGUGAGGAAGAAUGAUGACGCUACUCUGUGUUCCAUGGCUCUGUUCCUGGAGAAAGAACGGGACUUGAUCAAUGGAGAUGUUUGGCGGAAGGAUCCCAGUGAUAAAGAGACAACCUCGUUCAUGCGUUCUGCAGUCUUCCCUCUGAACUCCAAUGCAGAAGGUCCCUGACAUCACCAUCCUUCGAAAGGUGGCUGACGCAAUCUCCUCUUGCCAGCUCUCUAGAGAAGUCUCACACUCAGGGAAUUUCUUUCAGACGAUUUCUGUCUGACAGCCCAAAUCUGCCCCCUCGCAUGUCUUGCAUACAGAGUAAGGGCCAGGGAAGUCCAGGCACUGCUGCUUGCUGGGCUGCUCCUUCUUCGCCUCACGCCCAUCAUUUUCCACCUUCCC